Molecule: ribosomal RNA, 2880 nt
Filed under: Neiella holothuriorum
Lineage: Bacteria; Pseudomonadati; Pseudomonadota; Gammaproteobacteria; Alteromonadales; Echinimonadaceae
Description: 23S ribosomal RNA
Rfam family: Bacterial large subunit ribosomal RNA
Source: RNAcentral
GGUUAAGUGACUAAGCGUAUACGGUGGAUGCCUAGGCAGUUAGAGGCGAUGAAGGACGUGUUAAUCUGCGAUAAGCGUUGGCGAGGUGAUAAAACCCGUUGAGCCAACGAUUUCCGAAUGGGGAAACCCACUGGCAUAAGCCAGUAUCUUGCACUGAAUACAUAGGUGUAAGAGGCGAACCCGGGGAACUGAAACAUCUAAGUACCCGGAGGAAAAGAAAUCAACCGAGAUUCCGUCAGUAGCGGCGAGCGAACGCGGAGCAGCCCUUAAGCUGUUCUAAGGUUAGUGGAAUGUGUUGGGAAGCACAGCGAUACAGGGUGAUAGCCCCGUACACGAAAACCUUUUUUCAGUGAAAUCGAGUAGGUCGGGACACGUGACAUCUUGACUGAACAUGGGGGGACCAUCCUCCAAGGCUAAAUACUCCUAACUGACCGAUAGUGAACCAGUACCGUGAGGGAAAGGCGAAAAGAACCCCUGUGAGGGGAGUGAAAUAGAACCUGAAACCGUAUACGUACAAGCAGUGGGAGCCCUUUAUGGGUGACUGCGUACCUUUUGUAUAAUGGGUCAACGACUUACAUUUUGUAGCAAGCUUAACCGAAUAGGGGAGGCGUAGCGAAAGCGAGUGUUAACUGCGCGUUUAGUUGCAAGGUGUAGACCCGAAACCCGGUGAUCUAGCCAUGAGCAGGUUGAAGGUUGAGUAACAUCAACUGGAGGACCGAACCCACUUAUGUUGAAAAAUGAGGGGAUGACUUGUGGCUAGGGGUGAAAGGCCAAUCAAACCGGGAGAUAGCUGGUUCUCCUCGAAAGCUAUUUAGGUAGCGCCUCGAGCGAAUACCAACGGGGGUAGAGCACUGUUAAGGCUAGGGGGUCAUCCCGACUUACCAACCCUUUGCAAACUCCGAAUACCGUUGAGUACUACUCGGGAGACACACGGCGGGUGCUAACGUCCGUCGUGGAAAGGGAAACAACCCAGACCGUCAGCUAAGGUCCCAAAGUCAUAGCUAAGUGGGAAACGAUGUGGGAAGGCUUAGACAGCUAGGAGGUUGGCUUAGAAGCAGCCAUCCUUUAAAGAAAGCGUAAUAGCUCACUAGUCGAGUCGGCCUGCGCGGAAGAUGUAACGGGGCUAAGCUAUGCACCGAAGCUACGGACUUAUCUUUGAUAAGUGGUAGAGGAGCGUUCUGUAAGCGGAUGAAGGUGAAUCGUAAGGUUUGCUGGACGUAUCAGAAGUGCGAAUGUUGACAUGAGUAACGAUAAAGGGGGUGAAAAGCCCCCUCGCCGAAAGACCAAGGUUUCCUGUCCCAUGUUAAUCAGGGCAGGGUGAGUCGGCCCCUAAGGCGAGGCUGAGAAGCGUAGUCGAUGGGAAACAGGUUAAUAUUCCUGUACUUCUUGUAAUUGCGAUGGGAGGACGGAGAAGGCUAAACAAGCACAGCGUUGGUUGUCUGUGUGAAAGUAUGUAGGCCGAGUGCUUAGGUAAAUCCGGGCGCUUAAAGCUGAGAUACGAGACGAGCCACUACGGUGGUGAAGUUGUUGAUGCCCUGCUUCCAGGAAAAGUCUCUAAGCUUCAGAUUACAAGAAACCGUACCCCAAACCGACACAGGUGGUUGGGUAGAGAAUACCAAGGCGCUUGAGAGAACUCGGGUGAAGGAACUAGGCAAAAUAGUACCGUAACUUCGGGAGAAGGUACGCUGAUGACGGUGAUGGGACUUGCUCCCUAAGCUAUCGUCAGUCGCAGUGACCAGAUGGCUGGGACUGUUUAUUAAAAACACAGCACUGUGCUAAAUCGAAAGAUGACGUAUACGGUGUGACACCUGCCCGGUGCCGGAAGGUUAAUUGAUGGGGUUAGCGUAAGCGAAGCUCUUGAUCGAAGCCCCGGUAAACGGCGGCCGUAACUAUAACGGUCCUAAGGUAGCGAAAUUCCUUGUCGGGUAAGUUCCGACCUGCACGAAUGGUGUAACCAUGGCCAUGCUGUCUCCACCCGAGACUCAGUGAAAUUGAAAUCGCUGUGAAGAUGCAGUGUACCCGCGGCUAGACGGAAAGACCCCGUGAACCUUUACUAUAGCUUGGCAGUGAACAUUGAACCUACAUGUGUAGGAUAGGUGGGAGGCUUUGAAACAGCGUCGCUAGAUGUUGUGGAGCCAACCUUGAAAUACCACCCUUGUACGUUUGAUGUUCUAACCAUGGUCCCUUAUCGGGAUCUGGGACACUGUCUGGUGGGUAGUUUGACUGGGGCGGUCUCCUCCCAAAGCGUAACGGAGGAGCACGAAGGUUGGCUAAGUACGGUCGGACAUCGUACGGUUAGUGCAAUGGCAUAAGCCAGCUUAACUGCGAGAUAGACACAUCGAGCAGGUACGAAAGUAGGUCAUAGUGAUCCGGCGACUCUGUAUGGAAGGGUCGUCGCUCAACGGAUAAAAGGUACUCCGGGGAUAACAGGCUGAUACCGCCCAAGAGUUCAUAUCGACGGCGGUGUUUGGCACCUCGAUGUCGGCUCAUCACAUCCUGGGGCUGAAGUCGGUCCCAAGGGUAUGGCUGUUCGCCAUUUAAAGUGGUACGCGAGCUGGGUUUAGAACGUCGUGAGACAGUUCGGUCCCUAUCUGCCGUGGGCGUUUGAGAAUUGAGAGGGGCUGCUCCUAGUACGAGAGGACCGGAGUGGACGAACCUCUGGUGUUCGGGUUGUCACGCCAGUGGCAUUGCCCGGUAGCUAAGUUCGGAAUCGAUAACCGCUGAAAGCAUCUAAGCGGGAAGCGAGCCUCGAGAUGAGUUCUCACUUACUCUUUAAGAGUUCUGUAGGGUCGUCGAAGACUACGACGUUGAUAGGCAGGGUGUGGAAGCGCUGUGAGGCGUUGAGCUAACCUGUACUAAUUGCCCGUGCGGCUUAACCAU